RNAcentral lists this ribosomal RNA (614 nucleotides) under uncultured bacterium. RNAcentral's name for it is "bacterial SSU rRNA". The stretch from base 1 to 517 matches the Rfam family "Bacterial small subunit ribosomal RNA", at positions 338 to 873 of the family's 1533-position model. The record is from RNAcentral.
CCUACGGGAGGCAGCAGUGGGGAAUCUUGCGCAAUGGGCGAAAGCCUGACGCAGCCAUGCCGCGUGAAUGAUGAAGGUCUUAGGAUUGUAAAAUUCUUUCACCGGGGACGAUAAUGACGGUACCCGGAGAAGAAGCCCCGGCUAACUUCGUGCCAGCAGCCGCGGUAAUACGAAGGGGGCUAGCGUUGCUCGGAAUUACUGGGCGUAAAGGGAGCGUAGGCGGAUAGUUUAGUCAGAGGUGAAAGCCCAGGGCUCAACCUUGGAAUUGCCUUUGAUACUGGCUAUCUUGAGUACGGAAGAGGUAUGUGGAACUCCGAGUGUAGAGGUGAAAUUCGUAGAUAUUCGGAAGAACACCAGUGGCGAAGGCGACAUACUGGUCCGUUACUGACGCUGAGGCUCGAAAGCGUGGGGAGCAAACAGGAUUAGAUACCCUGGUAGUCCACGCUGUAAACGAUGAGUGCUAGUUGUCGGCAUGCAUGCAUGUCGGUGACGCAGCUACGACAUAAGACACUCCGCCGUGGGGUAGGUACGGUCGGCGAGAAGUUAAACUACUUAAUUAGUAAGUUAGUUACGGCGUUGAGACGUGCCGACGGACGACGACGAGGGAGGUUAGG